RNAcentral lists this ribosomal RNA (560 nucleotides) under uncultured bacterium. RNAcentral's name for it is "bacterial SSU rRNA". It matches the Rfam family "Bacterial small subunit ribosomal RNA", at positions 65 to 607 of the family's 1533-position model. The record is from RNAcentral.
AGCGAGAAAAUGGCUUCGGCCAUGAGUACAGCGGCGGACGGGUGAGUAAUACAUGGAUAAUCUGCCUUUAGGACUGGGACAACCCUGGGAAACUAGGGCUAAUACCGGAUAAGACCACAGAAUCUGCGGAUUCAGUGGUAAAAGGUGGCUUUCGGGCUAUCACCUAGAGAUGAGUCCAUGUCCCAUCAGGUUGUUGGUGAGGUAACGGCCCACCAAGCCUAAGACGGGUAGCCGGCCUUAGCGGGUGAUCGGCCACACGGGGACUGAGACACGGCCCCGACUCCUACGGGAGGCAGCAGUGGGGAAUAUUGGACAAUGGGCGCAAGCCUGAUCCAGCAAUACCGCGUGAGGGAUGAAGGCCCUAGGGUCGUAAACCUCUGUCAGUUGGAACGAUGGGUUUGUAGGUUAAUACCCUGCAAACUUGACGGUACCUUCAAAGGAAGCCCCGGCUAACUCCGUGCCAGCAGCCGCGGUAAUACGGAGGGGGCAAGCGUUGCUCGGAAUUACUGGGCGUAAAGGGUCCGCAGGUGGCUUUGUAAGUUAGAUGUGAAAUCUCAGGG